AAUUUAGUUAAUUCUUACAAUAACCAUAUAACAUAGGUAGUGAAAUUAUUUCUAUUUUUACAUGUGAAGACCCUAAAGCACUAAGUGGAGCAUUGUGCUAGAGUUAAUGAGGUUAAUUGCACUCAUUUCACAUGCUAGGUUUCACAAGGUUACAUUCAAAAUCCUGCAAACUAGGCUUCAGCAGUAUGUGAACUGAGAAUUUCCAGUGUACAAGCUGGGUUUUGAAGAGGCAGAAGAACCAGAGAUCAAAUUGCCAAUGUUUGUUGGAUCAUGAUGAAAGUAAGGGAGUUCCAGAAAAACAUCUGCUUCAUUGACUACACUAAAGCCUUUGGCUGGGUGGAUCACAACAAGCUGUGGAAAAUUCUGUAAAGAAAUGAUAAUACCAGACCACUUUACUUAUCUCCUGAGAAACCUGUAUGCCACUCAAGAUGCAACAGCGAGAGUCUUUGACAAAAUUCAACACCCAUUUAUGAUAAAAACUCUCCAGAAAGCCGGCAUAGAAGGAACAUACCUCAACAUAAUAAGAGCCAUAUAUGAAUAGGACCGUGGUUCUGUUUUGUUGGUUUUUGGAACUGAGGCCAUGAUUAAGAGGGAUGGCCAGGGGCAUUCAUAUUGCACCACUAGAGGUGAAAUUCUUGGACCAGUGCAAGACGGACCAAAGUGAAAGCAUUUGCCAAGAAUGUUUUCAUUAAUCAAGAAUGAAAGUCGGAGGUUCGAAGACGAUCAGAUACCAUCGUAGUGCCGACCAUAAACGAUGCCGACUGGUGAUGCAGUGGUGUUAUUCCCAUGACCCGCCAGGCAGCUUCUGGGAAACCAAAGUCUUUGGGUUCCGGGGGGAGUAUGGUUGCAAAGCUGAAACUUGAAGGAAAUGAUGGAAGGGCACCACCAGGUGUGGAGCCUGCCGCUUAAUUUGACUCAACACGGGAAACCUCACCUGGCCCAGACAUGGACAGGAUUGACAGAUUGAUAGCUCUUUCUCAGUUCUGUGGGUGGUGGUGCAUGGCCAUUAUUAGUUGGUGGAGCGAUUUUUCUGGUUAAUUCCGAUAACAGUCGAGAUUCUGGCAUGCUAACUAGUUAUGUGACCCCCAAGUGGUCGGCAUCCCCCAACUUCUUAGAGGGACAAGUGGCGUUCAGCCACCCACGAUUGAGCAAUAACAGAUGCCCUUGAGCAAUCUAAGAUGCCCUUAGAUGUCCGGGGCUGCAUGCGUGCUACACUGACUGGCUCACCGUGUGCCUACCCUACGCCAGCAGGCGCGGGUAACCCGUUGAACCCCAUUCGUGAUGGGGAUCAAGGAUUGCAAUUAUUCCCCAUGAACGAGGAAUUCCCAGUAAGUGUGGGUCAGGUGAUGGCACCUCACUCCAGUACUCCUGCCUGGAAUAUCCCACGGACAGAGGAGCUUGGUAGGCUGCAGUCCAUUGGGUCACAA
This 1427-nucleotide non-coding RNA is filed under the name Ovis aries (sheep). RNAcentral describes it as "Eukaryotic small subunit ribosomal RNA". It matches the Rfam family "Eukaryotic small subunit ribosomal RNA", at positions 632 to 1639 of the family's 1831-position model. Lineage: Eukaryota; Metazoa; Chordata; Mammalia; Artiodactyla; Bovidae. The record is from Rfam by way of RNAcentral.